GAGUGGCGAACGGGUGAGUAAUACAUCGGAGCGUGCCCGAGAGUGGGGGAUAACGAAGCGAAAGCUUUGCUAAUACCGCAUACGAUCUCAGGAUGAAAGCAGGGGACCGCAAGGCCUUGCGCUCACGGAGCGGCCGAUGGCAGAUUAGGUAGUUGGUGGGAUAAAAGCUUACCAAGCCGACGAUCUGUAGCUGGUCUGAGAGGACGACCAGCCACACUGGGACUGAGACACGGCCCAGACUCCUACGGGAGGCAGCAGUGGGGAAUUUUGGACAAUGGGCGCAAGCCUGAUCCAGCCAUGCCGCGUGCAGGAUGAAGGCCUUCGGGUUGUAAACUGCUUUUGUACGGAACGAAAAGACUCUGGUUAAUACCUGGGGUCCAUGACGGUACCGUAAGAAUAAGCACCGGCUAACUACGUGCCAGCAGCCGCGGUAAUACGUAGGGUGCGAGCGUUAAUCGGAAUUACUGGGCGUACAGCGUGCGCAGGCGGU
Molecule: ribosomal RNA, 490 nt
Filed under: uncultured beta proteobacterium
Lineage: Bacteria; Pseudomonadati; Pseudomonadota; Betaproteobacteria
Description: bacterial SSU rRNA
Rfam family: Bacterial small subunit ribosomal RNA
Source: RNAcentral